CAGUCGCCGCGGGAACACGAAGGGUGCAAGCGUUACUCGGAAUUACUGGGCGUAAAGCGUGUGUAGGUGGUUGUUUAAGUCCGUUGUGAAAGCCCUGGGCUCAACCUGGGAAUUGCAGUGGAUACUGGGUCACUAGAGUGUGGUAGAGGAUAGUGGAAUUUCCGGUGUAGCAAUGAAAUGCGUAGAGAUCGGAAGGAACAUCUGUGGCGAAGGCGACUAUCUGGGCCAACACUGACACUGAGGCACGAAAGCGUGGGGAGCAAACAGGAUUAGAUACCCGUGUAGUCCCUGUCUCUUAUAC
This 301-nucleotide ribosomal RNA is filed under the name uncultured bacterium. RNAcentral's name for it is "partial 16S ribosomal RNA". It matches the Rfam family "Bacterial small subunit ribosomal RNA", at positions 509 to 807 of the family's 1533-position model. The record is from RNAcentral.